CUUUAAAAGUCAAAGUCAAAGUGGCAUACUAAUGUAGUGUACUGGAAAAUAUUAUAUUUUAACAACAUAAAUUAUUAAACACUUCAGCAACCCAUAUGUACAUCUAAAACAACAACUCUUAAUCUAUAACUAGCUAAUGUUAAGCUGUUAUACUAAGUUUAUGAAACAGAAGCUUAUUUUUAUUACAAAAAUACAUAGGCUACCCAGGGAAGUUAUUUUUACACAGAAGACAAAAACUUUAAUCUUCAACUAGCUACUGUAAGUAAAAUGUUGUCUAUGCUAUUUAUGGAUGUUUAAUCAAACAUGAAUUCACUAAAACAAGAAGAUACCCUACCUACCAAAUCAACUAACAUACAUUGUACAUUGGAUUUGAUGGUCCAGACCAUCCCACAGAUGCUCAGUCGAAUUGGAGGCAACACCUUGUUCUGCUAUGCUCCUCAAACCAUUCCUUAACUAUAUUUGCAGUGUGGCAGGUGUAUUAUCCCGCUGAAAGGGGCCACUGUCAUCAGGGAACGCCAUUGCCAUGAAGGAACAUCGGCCAGAUCAUAAUACGGCCUCUGACGGCUUGCCUUCUUCCCAUAGUGCAUCUGCUGCCAUUUCUGCCUCAACUAAAUAAUGCACACACACUCGGCUAUCCACCUGAAGUAAAAGAAAAGAUGAGUUAUGAGACCAGACAACCUUCUUCCAUUGAUCCAGGGUCCAGUCCUGAUGCUCACAUGCCUAUUGAAGAGACUUUUGGCGAUGGACAGGGGUCUGUGGCUGCAGUGCACUGUUCUGACACAUUUCACAUUGGAAAUCCAAUACUUGCAUUUAAAAUUGUAAAUCGGCAUUUUCUCUCCAAAAAAUUGCUUAAUUGAAAAAUCAAUCAAUGUGCAAUGAAUCCAUCUGUUGUAUCCUUGGUGCUGGGUAAACAAUUAAAACAUUUCAAAUGUAAAACUUUAGUUUAUAAGUAAUCUAAAAGUAAUCCAAAAGUAGUCUGAAUACCUAAUAAGAGUACCUGAGUAAUCUAAACUGCAUUACUUGCUACAAUUUUCAUUAUGUAAUCAGUACUCUGAAUCAAACUUUAAAAAAUUAGUUUGUACAACUGUAUUCCUGAAGUUCAGUAAACGCAAUAAAGUUUUUAAAAGCUUUCCAGCUGGUUGUCUUAUUAUUUUAAGUUGUCUUAACAUUCUUGUUUAUGUCCAUUGGACGGAAUAGUAGAA
This is a long non-coding RNA of Cyprinus carpio carpio, 1202 nucleotides long. The record is from Ensembl. NCBI's taxonomy places the organism in Eukaryota, Metazoa, Chordata, Actinopteri, Cypriniformes, Cyprinidae.